UAACUAGGGGCAACCAUAGUUGGAA
This 25-nucleotide non-coding RNA is filed under the name Rattus norvegicus (Norway rat). Lineage: Eukaryota; Metazoa; Chordata; Mammalia; Rodentia; Muridae. The record is from RNAcentral.